Molecule: ribosomal RNA, 142 nt
Filed under: uncultured Marinilabiliaceae bacterium
Lineage: Bacteria; Pseudomonadati; Bacteroidota; Bacteroidia; Marinilabiliales; Marinilabiliaceae
Description: partial 16S ribosomal RNA
Rfam family: Bacterial small subunit ribosomal RNA
Source: RNAcentral
GAGCAGCCACUUGGUGACAAGGCGCUAAUCUCAAAAGACCGAUCUCAGUUCGGAUCGAAGUCUGCAACUCGACUUCGUGAAGUUGGAUUCGCUAGUAAUCGCGCAUCAGCCAUGGCCGCGGUCGAAUACGUUCCCGGGCCUU